GACGAACGCUGGCGGCGUGCUUAACACAUGCAAGUCGAACGGUGAAGCGCUUGCCUUUUUGGUGGGUGUGGAUGAGUGGCGAACGGGUGAGUAACACGUGAGUAACCUGCCCUCUUCUUCUGGAUAACCUCAUGAAAGUGGGGCUAAUACGGGGUAUUCCGGGUCUGUCGCAUGGCGGGUUUGGGAAAGAUUGCGCCUUUGGGUGUUUUCGGUGGGGGACGGGCUCGCGGCCUAUCAGCUUGUUGGUGGGGUGAUGGCCUACCAAGGCGGUGACGGGUAGCCGGCCUGAGAGGGUGGACGGCCACACUGGGACUGAGACACGGCCCAGACUCCUGCGGGAGGCAGCAGUGGGGAAUAUUGCACAAUGGGCGCAAGCCUGAUGCAGCGACGCCGCGUGAGGGAUGGAGGCCUUCGGGUUGUGAACCUCUUUCGCCAGUGAAGCAGGCCUGCUCCUGUGUGGGUGGGUUGACGGUAGCUGGAGAAGAAGCGCCGGCUAACUACGUG
This 504-nucleotide ribosomal RNA is filed under the name uncultured bacterium. Its description in RNAcentral is "partial 16S ribosomal RNA". It matches the Rfam family "Bacterial small subunit ribosomal RNA", at positions 28 to 507 of the family's 1533-position model. The record is from RNAcentral.